Molecule: small RNA, 297 nt
Filed under: Asanoa hainanensis
Lineage: Bacteria; Bacillati; Actinomycetota; Actinomycetes; Micromonosporales; Micromonosporaceae
Description: Asanoa sp. 210121 5' ureB small RNA
Rfam family: 5' ureB small RNA
Source: Rfam by way of RNAcentral
CGGUCGAGAGGACCUGCGGGCAGAUCAGGUGUACGUGGCUGUCGACCGCGCCCGCCGUCAGGAUCUUUCCGUUGCCGGCGAUCACCUCCGUGCCCGGGCCGAUCACCAGGUCCGGGUGCACACCGUCCAUCGUGUCCGGGUUGCCGGCCUUGCCCAGCGCGACGAUCCGCCCGUCGCGGAUGCCGAUGUCGGCCUUGACCACGCCCCAGUGGUCGAGCACCACCGCGCCGGUGAUCACGGUGUCGACGGUGCCGUCGCCGCGGCUGACCGCCGACUGGCCCAUCGACUCCCGGAUCA